GGGGGCCCGCAAGCGGUGGAGCAUGUGGUUUAAUUCGACGCAACGCGAAGAACCUUACCUGGGCUCGAAAUGGUGUGGACCGGAGUGGAAACAUUCCUUUCUCGCAAGAGACCGCAUUAUAGGUGCUGCAUGGCUGUCGUCAGCUCGUGUCGUGAGAUGUUGGGUUAAGUCCCGCAACGAGCGCAACCCUUACUUCCAGUUGCCAUCAUUCAGUUGGGCACUCUGGCAGAACCGCCUCGGAUAACGGGGAGGAAGGUGGGGAUGACGUCAAGUCCUCAUGGCCUUUAUGUCCAGGGCUACACACGUGCUACAAUGGCCGGUACAAACCGUCGCAAACCCGUGAGGGGGAGCUAAUCGGAAAAAGCCGGCCUCAGUUCGGAUCGCAGUCUGCAACUCGACUGCGUGAAGCUGGAAUCGCUAGUAAUCGCGGAUCAGAACGCCGCGGUGAAUACGUUCCCGGGCCUUGUACACACC
This 474-nucleotide ribosomal RNA is filed under the name uncultured bacterium. RNAcentral's name for it is "bacterial SSU rRNA". It matches the Rfam family "Bacterial small subunit ribosomal RNA", at positions 915 to 1391 of the family's 1533-position model. The record is from RNAcentral.